This 492-nucleotide ribosomal RNA is filed under the name uncultured bacterium. Its description in RNAcentral is "partial 16S ribosomal RNA". It matches the Rfam family "Bacterial small subunit ribosomal RNA", at positions 29 to 507 of the family's 1533-position model. The record is from RNAcentral.
AGUGAACGCUGGCGGUAGGCCUAACACAUGCAAGUCGAACGGCAGCACAGUAAGAGCUUGCUCUUACGGGUGGCGAGUGGCGGACGGGCGAGGAAUACAUCGGAAUCUACUUUUUCGUGGGGGAUAACGUAGGGAAACUUACGCUAAUACCGCAUACGACCUACGGGUGAAAGCAGGGGAUCUUCGGACCUUGCGCGAUUGAAUGAGCCGAUGUCGGAUUAGCUAGUUGGCGGGGUAAAGGCCCACCAAGGCGACGAUCCGUAGCUGGUCUGAGAGGAUGAUCAGCCACACUAGAACUGGGACACGGUCCAGACUCCUACGGGAGGCAGCAGUGGGGAAUAUUGGACAAUGGGCGCAAGCCUGAUCCAGCCAUACCGCGUGGGUGAAGAAGGCCUUCGGGUUGUAAAGCCCUUUUGUUGGGAAAGAAAAGCAGCAGGUUAAUACCCCGCUGUUCUGACGGUACCCAAAGAAUAAGCACCGGCUAACUUCGUG